CAACCUCAACUCAUAUGGGACUACCCCCUGAAUUUAAGCAUAUUAAUUAGGGGAGGAAAAGAAACUAACAAGGAUUUUCUUAGUAGCGGCGAGCGAAAAGAAAACAGUUCAGCACUAAGUCACUUUGUCUAUAUGGCAAAUGUGAGAUGCAGUGUAUGGAGCGUCAAUAUUCUAGUAUGAGAAAUUAAUGAUUUAAGUCCUUCUUAAAUGAGGCCAUUUACCCAUAGAGGGUGCCAGGCCCGUAUAACGUUAAUGAUUACUAGAUGAUGUUUCCAAAGAGUCGUGUUGCUUGAUAGUGCAGCACUAAGUGGGUGGUAAACUCCAUCUAAAACUAAAUAUAACCAUGAGACCGAUAGUAAACAAGUACCGUGAGGGAAAGUUGAAAAGAACUCUGAAUAGAGAGUUAAACAGUACGUGAAACUGCUUAGAGGUUAAGCCCGAUGAACCUGAAUAUCCGUUAUGGAAAAUUCAUCAUUAAAAUUGUAAUAUUUAAAUAAUAUUAUUAAGAAUAAUGUGCAUUUUUUCCAUAUAAGGACAUUGUAAUCUAUUAGCAUAUCCCAAAUUUAUCAUAAAAUAUAACUUAUAGUUUAUUCCAAUUAAAUUGCUUGCAUUUUAACACAGAAUAAAUGUUAUUAAUUUGAUAAAGUGCUGAUAGAUUUAUAUUAUUACAGAGCGUUAAUUUUUCGGAAUUAUAUAAUGGCAUAAUUAUCAUUGAUUUUUGUGUUUAUUAUAUGCUCUUGUAUGAUUAACAAUGCGAAAGAUUCAGGAUACCUUCGGGACCCCUCUUGAAACACGGACCAAGGAGUCUAACAUAUGUGCAAGUUAUCGGGAUGUAAACCUAAUAGCGUAAUUAACUUGACUACUAAUGGGAUUAGGAAUCCCACC
This 885-nucleotide non-coding RNA is filed under the name Drosophila simulans. Its description in RNAcentral is "Eukaryotic large subunit ribosomal RNA". It matches the Rfam family "Eukaryotic large subunit ribosomal RNA", at positions 1 to 759 of the family's 3401-position model. Lineage: Eukaryota; Metazoa; Arthropoda; Insecta; Diptera; Drosophilidae. The record is from Rfam by way of RNAcentral.